Molecule: ribosomal RNA, 808 nt
Filed under: uncultured archaeon
Lineage: Archaea
Description: bacterial SSU rRNA
Rfam family: Bacterial small subunit ribosomal RNA
Source: RNAcentral
ACUGCUCAGUAACACGUGGGCAACCUGCCUUUAUACAGGGGGAUAGCCACCCGAAAGGGUGAUUAAUACCGCAUAACACUGAUUUGUUACAUGACAGAUCAGUCAAAGGAGCAAUCCGGUAUAAGAUGGGCCCGCGCCCCAUUAGAUAGUUGGUGAGGUAACGGCUCACCAAGUCAACGAUGGGUAGCCGACCUGAGAGGAUGAACGGCCACAUUGGAACUGAGACACGGUCCAGACUCCUACGGGAGGCAGCAGUGGGGAAUAUUGCGCAAUGGGGGAAACCCUGACGCAGCAACGCCGCGUGAGCGAUGAAGGCCUUCGGGUCGUAAAGCUCUGUCUUUUGGGACGAUAAUGACGGUACCAAAGGAGGAAGCCACGGCUAACUACGUGCCAGCAGCCGCGGUAAUACGUAGGUGGCGAGCGUUGUCCGGAAUUACUGGGCGUAAAGGGUGCGUAGGCGGAAGCUUAAGUCAGAUGUGAAAUCCCAAGGCUCAACCUUGGAGUUGCAUUUGAAACUGGGUUUCUUGAGUGCAGGAGAGGAAAGCGGAAUUCCCAGUGUAGCGGUGAAAUGCGUAGAUAUUAGGAAGAACACCAGUGGCGAAGGCGGCUUUCUGGACUGUAACUGACGCUGAGGCACGAAAGCGUGGGGAGCAAACAGGAUUAGAUACCCUGGUAGUCCACGCUGUAAACGAUGAGUGCUAGGUGUGGGGGGUUUCGACACCCUCCGUGCCGCAGUAAACGCAAUAAGCACUCCGCCUGGGGAGUACGGUCGCAAGACUAAAACUCAAAGGAAUUGGCGGGGGAGCAC